ACGAACGCUGGCGGCGUGCUUCACACAUGCAAGUCGAACGGAAAGGCCCUGCUUGCAGGGUACUCGAGUGGCGAACGGGUGAGUAACACGUGGGUGAUCUGCCCUGCACUUCGGGAUAAGCUUGGGAAACUGGGUCUAAUACCGGAUAGGAACCAUCUUUAGUGUGGUGGUUGGAAAGUUUUUUCGGUGUAGGAUGAGCUCGCGGCCUAUCAGCUUGUUGGUGGGGUAAUGGCCUACCAAGGCGGCGACGGGUAGCCGGCCUGAGAGGGUGUACGGCCACAUUGGGACUGAGAUACGGCCCAGACUCCUACGGGAGGCAGCAGUGGGGAAUAUUGCACAAUGGGCGCAAGCCUGAUGCAGCGACGCCGCGUGGGGGAUGAAGGCCUUCGGGUUGUAAACUCCUUUCGCUAGGGACGAAGCUUUGUUGUGACGGUACCUAGAGAAGAAGCACCGGCUAACUACGUG
Molecule: ribosomal RNA, 465 nt
Filed under: uncultured bacterium
Lineage: Bacteria
Description: partial 16S ribosomal RNA
Rfam family: Bacterial small subunit ribosomal RNA
Source: RNAcentral